UACGGAGGGUGCAAGCGUUAAUCGGAAUUACUGGGCGUAAAGCGCACGCAGGCGGUUUUUUAAGUCAGAUGUGAAAUCCCCGGGCUCAACCCUGGAAAGGCAUCUGAUACUGGCAAGCUUGAGUCCCGUAGAGGGGGGGAGAAUUCCAGGUGUAGCGGUGAAAUGCGUAGAGAUCUGGAGGAAUACCGGUGGCGAAGGCGGCCCCCUGGACGAAGACUGACGCUCAGGUGCGAAAGCGAGGGGAGCAAACAGG
RNAcentral lists this ribosomal RNA (253 nucleotides) under uncultured bacterium. Its description in RNAcentral is "partial 16S ribosomal RNA". It matches the Rfam family "Bacterial small subunit ribosomal RNA", at positions 524 to 776 of the family's 1533-position model. The record is from RNAcentral.